CGCCAAGUGGUAAGGCACCGGAUUUUGAUUCCGGCAUUCGUAGGUUCGAUCCCUACC
This 57-nucleotide transfer RNA is filed under the name Betaproteobacteria bacterium. RNAcentral describes it as "tRNA-Gln". It matches the Rfam family "tRNA", at positions 10 to 63 of the family's 71-position model. From Rfam's summary of the family: Transfer RNA (tRNA) molecules are approximately 80 nucleotides in length. Their secondary structure includes four short double-helical elements and three loops (D, anti-codon, and T loops). Further hydrogen bonds mediate the characteristic L-shaped molecular structure. tRNAs have two regions of fundamental functional importance: the anti-codon, which is responsible for specific mRNA codon recognition, and the 3' end, to which the tRNAs corresponding amino acid is attached (by aminoacyl-tRNA synthetases). tRNAs cope with the degeneracy of the genetic code in two manners: having more than one tRNA (with a specific anti-codon) for a particular amino acid; and 'wobble' base-pairing, i.e. permitting non-standard base-pairing at the 3rd anti-codon position. The record is from RNAcentral. RNAcentral also lists the same sequence under 1 other name. Lineage: Bacteria; Pseudomonadati; Pseudomonadota; Betaproteobacteria.